RNAcentral lists this non-coding RNA (26 nucleotides) under Arabidopsis thaliana (thale cress). Lineage: Eukaryota; Viridiplantae; Streptophyta; Magnoliopsida; Brassicales; Brassicaceae. The record is from RNAcentral.
CUAUACCGUGAGGCCAAACUUGGCAU